UACGUAGGUGGCAAGCGUUGUCCGGAUUUACUGGGCGUAAAGAGCGCGCAGGCGGUCGUUCAAGUCGCGUGUGAAAGCCCCCGGCUCAACUGGGGAGGGUCACGCGAUACUGAUCGACUGGAAGGCAGGAGAGGGAAGUGGAAUUCCCGGUGUAGUGGUGAAAUGCGUAGAUAUCGGGAGGAACACCAGUGGCGAAGGCGACUUCCUGGCCCGUUCUUGACGCUGAGGCGCGAAAGCUAGGGGAGCAAACGGG
This 253-nucleotide ribosomal RNA is filed under the name uncultured bacterium. RNAcentral describes it as "partial 16S ribosomal RNA". It matches the Rfam family "Bacterial small subunit ribosomal RNA", at positions 524 to 776 of the family's 1533-position model. The record is from RNAcentral.